UCGAUUUGGAGUUUGUUGCCUAGAGUGAUGGGCUCCGAAGCUAACGCGAUAAGUCGACCGCCUGGGGAGUACGGCCGCAAGGUUAAAACUCAAAUGAAUUGACGGGGGCCCGCACAAGCGGUGGAGCAUGUGGUUUAAUUCGAUGCAACGCGAAGAACCUUACCUGGUCUUGACAUCCACAGAAUCUUGCAGAGAUGUGAGAGUGCCUUCGGGAACUGUGAGACAGGUGCUGCAUGGCUGUCGUCAGCUCGUGUUGUGAAAUGUUGGGUUAAGUCCCGCAACGAGCGCAACCCUUAUCCUUUGUUGCCAUCGGUUAGGCCGGGAACUCAAAGGAGACUGCCGUUGAUAAAGCGGAGGAAGGUGGGGACGACGUCAAGUCAUCAUGGCCCUUACGACCAGGGCUACACACGUGCUACAAUGGCGUAUACAAAGGGAGGCGACCUCGCGAGAGCAAGCGGACCUCAUAAAGUACGUCUAAGUCCGGAUUGGAGUCUGCAACUCGACUCCAUGAAGUCGGAAUCGCUAGUAAUCGUGAAUCAGAAUGUCACGGUGAAUACGUUCCCGGGCCU
RNAcentral lists this ribosomal RNA (569 nucleotides) under uncultured Gammaproteobacteria bacterium. Its description in RNAcentral is "bacterial SSU rRNA". It matches the Rfam family "Bacterial small subunit ribosomal RNA", at positions 812 to 1381 of the family's 1533-position model. The record is from RNAcentral. Lineage: Bacteria; Pseudomonadati; Pseudomonadota; Gammaproteobacteria.